GGGGGUAUAACUCAGUUGGUAGAGUGCUUGUCUUGCAUGCACAAGGCCCUGGGUUCAAUCCCCAGCACUUCGA
RNAcentral lists this transfer RNA (73 nucleotides) under Ictidomys tridecemlineatus (thirteen-lined ground squirrel). Its description in RNAcentral is "Spermophilus tridecemlineatus (thirteen-lined ground squirrel) tRNA". It matches the Rfam family "tRNA". From Rfam's summary of the family: Transfer RNA (tRNA) molecules are approximately 80 nucleotides in length. Their secondary structure includes four short double-helical elements and three loops (D, anti-codon, and T loops). The record is from Rfam by way of RNAcentral. Lineage: Eukaryota; Metazoa; Chordata; Mammalia; Rodentia; Sciuridae.